GUCAAGAUUUCUGGAAUGAUUCUUGGUCAAAAUCUAUAUGGCCUCUGGAUUGGACUGCGGCCGAUCAGGCUGUUGGUGAGGUAAUGGCCCACCAAACCUAUAACCGGUACGGGCUCUGAGAGGAGAAGCCCGGAGAUGGGCACUGAGACAAGGGCCCAGGCCCUAUGGGGCGCAGCAGGCGCGAAACCUUUGCAAUAGGCGAAAGCCUGACAAGGUUACUCUGAGUGAUUUCCGCUAAGGGGAUCUUUUGACACCUCUAAAAAUGGUGUAGAAUAAGGGGUGGGCAAGUCUGGUGUCAGCCGCCGCGGUAAUACCAGCACCCCGAGUGGUCGGGACGAUUAUUGGGCCUAAAGCAUCCGUAGCCGGUUUUACAAGUCUUCCGUUAAAUCCAGCCGCUCAACGGAUGGGCUGCGGAGGAUACUGUAGAACUAGGAGGCGGGAGAGGCAAGCGGUACUUAGUGGGUAGGGGUAAAAUCCACUGAUCCAUUGAAGA
Molecule: ribosomal RNA, 493 nt
Filed under: uncultured archaeon
Lineage: Archaea
Description: bacterial SSU rRNA
Rfam family: Archaeal small subunit ribosomal RNA
Source: RNAcentral